Molecule: long non-coding RNA, 422 nt
Filed under: Heterocephalus glaber (naked mole-rat)
Lineage: Eukaryota; Metazoa; Chordata; Mammalia; Rodentia; Bathyergidae
Description: lncRNA (ENSHGLG00100045352.1)
Source: RNAcentral
UGAAAAAGACGGACCUAUUGUUUUCCGUGAGCCACAUUCGGGUUCGGUUGGGCUGGGGCUCACGGAGCCACCAAGUUGACUGAGCUUUCCCUCACUGGAGGCGGCAGUCUCAGCCCACGGGUGCUGUUGUCGGUGCUGGGAGUUGAGAUUGACUCCGCCGAAAACACUAGGCAUGGAACAAGGAAAAGUGAAGCCAUAGGUGCUGGAGGACUCGGAAGUGACGUAGGCAGAAAGCGCCAUCUGAGUCGUUAGAGCUCCGUUUUCAGCGCUAGGAGGAGAGAGUGUGUGGGAAGAAUGAAAGCCUGAAGUAUUUGCAGUUGGUGUUAAAAAGGGAUUUCCCUGUGUAUCUAGGUUGGCCUUGAAGUCACUAUGGAGCCCAGGCUGGCCUCCAACUUGGAAUGAUCCUCUUGCUGCGAUUAUAG